Molecule: ribosomal RNA, 448 nt
Filed under: uncultured Anaerolineaceae bacterium
Lineage: Bacteria; Bacillati; Chloroflexota; Anaerolineae; Anaerolineales; Anaerolineaceae
Description: bacterial SSU rRNA
Rfam family: Bacterial small subunit ribosomal RNA
Source: RNAcentral
CAAGCAGGCGGAGCGUGGUUGGUUUAAUUCGUAUGAUACAGAAGAACCUUACCCAGGUCUUGACAUGCAGGUAGUCGGGUUUACGAAAGUAGGCCCCACCCUCGGGAGGCCUGCACAGGUGCUGCAUGGCUGUCGUCAGCUCGUGUCGUGAGAUGUCCGGUUAAGUCCGGUAACGAGCGCAACCCUCGCUGUAUGUUAUACGUGUCAUACGGGACUGCCGGUAUCAAGCCGGAGGAAGGUGGGGAUGACGUCAAGUCAGCAUGGCCUUUAUGUCUGGGGCUACACACACGCUACAAUGGCCAGUACAAUAGGUUGCAAGACCGCGAGGUGGAGCCAAUCCUAAAAGCUGGUCUCAGUUCGGAUUGCAGGCUGCAACUCGCCUGCAUGAGGUCGGAGUUGCUAGUAACCGCGCGUCAGCUAUAGUGCGGUGAAUACGUUCCCGGGCCUU